RNAcentral lists this ribosomal RNA (427 nucleotides) under uncultured bacterium. Its description in RNAcentral is "partial 16S ribosomal RNA". It matches the Rfam family "Bacterial small subunit ribosomal RNA", at positions 355 to 774 of the family's 1533-position model. The record is from RNAcentral.
UGGGGAAUAUUGCACAAUGGGCGCAAGCCUGAUGCAGCCAUGGCGCGUGUAUGAAGAAGGCCUUCGGGUUGUAAAGUACUUUCAGCGGGGAGGAAGGGAGUAAAGUUAAUACCUUUGCUCAUUGACGUUACCCGCAGAAGAAGCACCGGCUAACUCCGUGCCAGCAGCCGCGGUAAUACGGAGGGUGCAAGCGUUAAUCGGAAUUACUGGGCGUAAAGCGCACGCAGGCGGUUUGUUAAGUCAGAUGUGAAAUCCCCGGGCUCAACCUGGGAACUGCAUCUGAUACUGGCAAGCUUGAGUCUCGUAGAGGGGGGUAGAAUUCCAGGUGUAGCGGUGAAAUGCGUAGAGAUCUGGAGGAAUACCGGUGGCGAAGGCGGCCCCCUGGACGAAGACUGACGCUCAGGUGCGAAAGCGUGGGGAGCAAACA